GAUGAAGAACGUAGCGAAGUGCGAUAAGUAAUGUGAAUUGCAGAAUUCCGUGAAUCAUCGAAUCUUUGAACGCAAAUUGCACUUUCUGGUAUUCCGGAGAGUAUGCCUGUUUGAGGGUCAGUGUAAUAAAUAAAUCGUGGUUGUUACCACCUUUCGUGGUGACGCUUCGGAAUUGAGUCCUCUUACCCUUCGGGUUAAGUGACUUAAAAUUUUUUCAUACGAUUUCGAAACGUAUUUAAUGUAUUAUGUACGUUCACGAAUAUCGAAUGUUUAUUAGGUGCGGUCAUUUUUCAUGAAUUCGAGUCUAUAAUUUUUUUUUUUUGACCUCAAAUCAGGUAAGAAUACCCGCUGAACUUAAGCAUAUCAAUAAGCGGAGGA
This 378-nucleotide unclassified non-coding RNA is filed under the name soil metagenome. Its description in RNAcentral is "partial contains 5.8S ribosomal RNA, internal transcribed spacer 2, and large subunit ribosomal RNA". The stretch from base 1 to 120 matches the Rfam family "5.8S ribosomal RNA", at positions 35 to 154 of the family's 154-position model. The record is from RNAcentral.